GAAUUUUGGACAAUGGGCGAAAGCCUGAUCCAGCAAUGCCGCGUGCAGGAUGCAGGCCUUCGGGUUGUAAACUGCUAUUGUACGGAACGAAAAGUCUCGGGAUAAUACCCUGGGACCAUGACGGUACCGUAAGACUACUCACCGGCUAACUACGUGCACGCAGCCGCGGUAAUAAGUAGGGUGCAAGCGUUAAUCGGACUUACUGGUCGUAAGGGGUGCGAAGGCGGUUAUAUAGGACAGAGGUGAAAUCCCCGGGCUCAACCUGGGAACUGCAUUGGUGACUGUAUAGCUAGAGUACGGUAGAGGGGGAUGGAAUUGCGCGUGUAGCAGUGAAAUGCGUAGAUAUGCGGAAGAACACCGAUGGAGAGGGCAAUCCCCUGGACCUGUACUGACGCUCAUGCACGAAAGCGUGGGGAGCAAACAG
Molecule: ribosomal RNA, 424 nt
Filed under: uncultured bacterium
Lineage: Bacteria
Description: partial 16S ribosomal RNA
Rfam family: Bacterial small subunit ribosomal RNA
Source: RNAcentral